Molecule: ribosomal RNA, 503 nt
Filed under: uncultured bacterium
Lineage: Bacteria
Description: bacterial SSU rRNA
Rfam family: Bacterial small subunit ribosomal RNA
Source: RNAcentral
GAUGAACGCUAGCGGCAGGCUUAACACAUGCAAGUCGAGGGGCAGCGCGAUGUAGCAAUACAUUGGCGGCGACCGGCGCACGGGUGCGUAACACGUAUGGAACUUACCCUUUACUGGGAGAUAGCCCGGAGAAAUCCGGAUUAAUAUCCCAUAAUAAACGAAGUGGCAUCACUUUGUUUGAAAGCUCCGGCGGUAAAGGAUGGCCAUGCGCACGAUUAGCUAGUAGGUGAGGUAACGGCUCACCUAGGCUACGAUCGUUAGGGGCCUGAGAGGGUUAUCCCCCACACUGGUACUGAGACACGGACCAGACUCCUACGGGAGGCAGCAGUGAGGAAUAUUGCGCAAUGGAGGCAACUCUGACGCAGCCAUGCCGCGUGCAGGAAGAAGGCGCUACGCGUUGUAAACUGCUUUUAACCGGGAAGAAACCCUCCGACGUGUCGGAGGUUGACGGUACCGGAGGAAUAAGCACCGGCUAACUUCGUGCCAGCAGCCGCGGUUAAUGU